GGGGGUGACUGGCUUCGACGGGGAUCAAGAGGUCAACGGAGCGUGCCGAGCUCUCGGGGUCUCGUUAAACCCUCGGGAAACCCAAUAAAUGCCAACGAACCAUUGGCUCUCGCGGCGUAAGUGACCGCGACGUCUCUCCUGGUUUUGCCUGCGGGUCAGGAAGAGGCGACAUGCAGCAGGCUGGUCUCUGGCUGGCGCUCAGCAGCCAGAGAUGAGACAAUGCUGAGCUAGCAGCCGCUCUAAGCCAGCCAAUGGGCGUGGGCGGAUGCGAAAGUAAAAACAUUGGCUACGCACGUAGGGCCGUUGCACUGAAGGUUCUCGGACGCGGGUUCGAAUCCCGCCACCUCCACCA
Molecule: transfer-messenger RNA, 352 nt
Filed under: Nitrospirales
Lineage: Bacteria; Pseudomonadati; Nitrospirota; Nitrospiria
Also listed under: 1 other name
Description: J031 sp003696975 Standard tmRNA
Rfam family: transfer-messenger RNA
About the family: Bacterial tmRNA, also known as 10Sa RNA or SsrA, is named for its dual tRNA and mRNA-like properties. Its role is to liberate the mRNA from a stalled ribosome. To accomplish this part of the tmRNA is used as a reading frame that ends in a translation stop signal.
Source: RNAcentral